Molecule: ribosomal RNA, 601 nt
Filed under: Arthrobacter tumbae
Lineage: Bacteria; Bacillati; Actinomycetota; Actinomycetes; Micrococcales; Micrococcaceae
Description: bacterial SSU rRNA
Rfam family: Bacterial small subunit ribosomal RNA
Source: RNAcentral
UCUGCGGUGGGUACGGGCAGACUUGAGUGAUGUAGGGGAGACUGGAAUUCCUGGUGUAGCGGUGAAAUGCGCAGAUAUCAGGAGGAACACCGAUGGCGAAGGCAGGUCUCUGGGCAUUAACUGACGCUGAGGAGCGAAAGCAUGGGGAGCGAACAGGAUUAGAUACCCUGGUAGUCCAUGCCGUAAACGUUGGGCACUAGGUGUGGGGGACAUUCCACGUUUUCCGCGCCGUAGCUAACGCAUUAAGUGCCCCGCCUGGGGAGUACGGCCGCAAGGCUAAAACUCAAAGGAAUUGACGGGGGCCCGCACAAGCGGCGGAGCAUGCGGAUUAAUUCGAUGCAACGCGAAGAACCUUACCAAGGCUUGACAUGAACCGGAACGGCGCAGAGAUGUGUCGGCCACUUGUGGCCGGUUUACAGGUGGUGCAUGGUUGUCGUCAGCUCGUGUCGUGAGAUGUUGGGUUAAGUCCCGCAACGAGCGCAACCCUCGUUCCAUGUUGCCAGCGGGUUAUGCCGGGGACUCAUGGGAGACUGCCGGGGUCAACUCGGAGGAAGGUGGGGACGACGUCAAAUCAUCAUGCCCCUUAUGUCUUGGGCUUCAC